Molecule: long non-coding RNA, 5050 nt
Filed under: Homo sapiens (human)
Lineage: Eukaryota; Metazoa; Chordata; Mammalia; Primates; Hominidae
Description: non-protein coding lnc-METTL4-2:6
Source: RNAcentral
CUUUCAGAAGUGACUCUCCAGGGGAGCUAAAAUCCAUGUAUUUGGGCACACACUUGAACAAUAUUGCUAGAGAAAUUUAAGCAAGAGCACAAAGGUAUGUGAUUUUACAAGCUCUCAAUGACUGUAUGACUAUAUAGCUGAUUCAAGUUUUUUUUUUUUUGAAAACCCAAGAGCCUGUUCCUUUUUCUUUUAAGUGUCCUUAUGUUUUGAGUUUCCCCAAGAAAAUGCCUUUUGUGGUUCCAAGUUUCUCAUUUUUAAUUCAUUCUACUAAGUAUUUAUAUAGUUCCAGGAUAUGCUGUCAGCAUGAACAUAUCUUAGAAUCCCUGAUCCCCUCCCCUUUCUUACAAAUGGAAGUUUUAUUUGGGGAUUUUUAGAAAAAACCUUUUCAUGCAGAUAUUGCACAUCCGAUUCUUUUGAUGCUUUGAAGAACUGUUCCUUGGGAAAUGGACUCAGGAUGCAUCAUUUCUGGGGGUGUGGGGAAGUUCCAUUUGGAACCAUGAGUUAAUGAACAAGGGGACCAACCAGCUUUGAGGGAAGUAGUCCUAGUUGUUCUUUUGUGUGAGGAUUGGUAUAGUGCUUUUAUCAUCUGUGCCUUACAAAGUUUACAACAAUCAAUAUUUUAAAACAUCUUUACAGAAAAUGAAACUGUGAACUCCUCAUACUGCAUCUGAGAGCUGAUUUGGCAUUUUAUAAAUAGGCAUAUGAUGUCUAAAUUACUUGUAAUAUAAACUAAGAGCAUCCUCAGCAUUGAUGAUGGUUGCAUAUGAUCCAGAAUUAUAAUGAUGAAUAAUGCAUUGGGUUUCAUUGUUCUCUGUGAUUGCCCACUUUGUUAUGCAGGGACGGAUUUCCACGACAGUGUCCCAGAUUUGAAUUGUACAGUUUUUUUUUUUUGUAGUAGCUUCCCCAGAAUGAUGUAAGCUCAUUGGAAAUAUUCACAGAAAUCCUUGCUCUCUGUGCUUCAUGGAGAUGCAAUCUCAGAACUUUCUCCAAGGACUGGCUCAUCAAGUAUAAUUUAACAUGUCUUAUGAUCUGGAUCGCCUGUUUUGCAUGGAUAGAGCUUGUCAAAGCACAAAUCCUUGCAUCCUUGAUACAUUUGAACAAAUAAUAAUAUUUUAGUCAUUAUUUGGAGAAGAACAAUAUUGAGUUUUUAUACAAAUAAGAUAAAGCAUAUAAAAGGGCUGGAUGAACUAUAUAUGUCACUCAAACACGAGGCGUACAGUGUUUUAGAUUUGCAUGUCCCCCAAGAAGGCUGCGUCUCCCCCAGUCUCCAUUAGGUUCAAGGGCAAAGAUUUGUUUCAAGGACCCUGUAAGAAGAAACUUGAUUUUGGAGCCACAGGGUAGGUUAGGGGGUGAGCAACAGGAAGAGUGGCUUAAAGCACAGUGUUUUAUAUUUCUCCUUUACUGUGACUGAAUAGGCUCUAACAUCUGGACCAGGGCUAGCCUAGAGUUAGAGUAAGAUAGCUCCCGCCCUGGAGGCUGAGGCAACACCAGGCGGGAAAGCAGGUUGGUGGUGGGGUGAUGGUAGCGGUGGCGAAUAAAUGGCCUUUCCUCCACCCCCACCCAAAGUCUGGACUAAUUGGGAAAUAGAUGGAGGGAUCAGGUAGAUGUAAAUCAAAGCAUCAGCUUUAUUACUGAAAACACCUGGGUUGAAGAAACUGGCUUAUAUUUGCAGACAAAGGAGAUUGUUUAUGCUCCCUCACAUUAAAUUUGAGAUGGAUUGGAUACAGAAAGUGAAGGGAAAAGAUGAAGCAGGGAUAAUUCCUAGAUUUUUGAGUUGGGCACUCAGACGACAGAGCAGGGGCAUCACUGUCUUGGACAAACACCACCAUUUUAAGUUCCCCUUGAUUAAAAACUGCCUAAAUCCAGCCCCAGAAAGCAUCAGCAUAAUGGCUAAUGUCAGCAUGACCUUAAACCACAAGUGACACUCCCGCUAGAAAUAUUCCAACCCUGAGAUGAGCCCCCUCUGACCAGAAACAUGCCAGCCCCGAGAUAACCUCCCCUCCGACCGGAGGCAUUCCAACCUGGCAAUAAAACUCUCCUCCACACAGAAACAUUCUGAGCCUGCGAUAAGCUCUCCCUCCCCAGACCCUUACAUACCCUUAGUCUAUAAGAGAAAAUGCUCCUGACUGAAAUCGGCCAGAAGCCCCUUUCAGGUUUAUUCUCCAAAGUAAACCUGUUUUUGUCUGUUAAGCUGCUUUUUGUGUCUUUCUUCUCUCUUCAACUCUUACAAUAGAUACUGGUGGUAUAUUAAGAUGGGAAGGAGUGGGUUUUGAAGGGUUUGGAGGAAUCAAAAAUUGUUUUGGCUAUGGUACAUUUUGAGAUUCUCAUAAGACCUUUAUGUGGAAAUGUCAAGCAGAAAGUUAGUCUUUGAUCUGGCAGUGCAUGCUAGUUCUUUAUGGUGUAGGGAAUUUACAGGAUUCAAAGAGUAACUGAAUUGCAGAACUUGAAAAACGCAUUAAAAGGCAUAGGGUUCAUUUUAACUAGAUUCAGAUUGGUGCAGGCAUCAUUGAGCACAGCCAGUAUUGUUAAGAUUAUAAACUGGAUUGUCUGAUCUCCAGACCCUGUUGUAGGGUUUGCUAUUUUUUUUAGUAAUGAAUUUUUAGUAGACACAUUUUUCCCCCACCUACCAAAUUAUCUCCUAAUAAGCCAUUCCAGUCAUUACUGGAAGGCACAGCAAGCAAGCAGUGAUUUUGGUAUAAGAGAUAGUGUAAUAAGAUAGCAGGAAGGAGCAGAUCUUUUACAUUCCUAUUUCUGAGGUAGUUUCUUUCAUCUUGAAAGGACUAUUCUUGCAAUUGGAAAUAAGGUAAAAGAAAAUGAGAAUAUAUGACAUUUCCAUUAUUUUUUAAGCUACAUGUUUAUUGUUAUCAUAUGUUGAGUCUGCCUUAUGAAAUUUUUGUAUUGGAAUUAUUCCUUUCUGUACAAUUAAUUAGCCCAGUGUUUUCUUGAUAUUUGCUGUUUGCAAAAUAUUAGACUGAAUGUCUGAUAGACAUGUUCUGAAAUGCUCUAAAGACAAGCUUCUAAAGUUAGAGCAUUCUGACUUUAGUCAGUUGCCUAAGUAAAAUUUGAAGACUAAGGAGAGAGAAUGAGUAUGAAUCAGCUAUGAAUUGAGGUGUCUUUGAUGGACCCAGCUACAGCUGGGAAGAUGUUUGCCCCAAGUUGGCCUGGAUAUUCCCUAAACCCCUUCCCCAUCUGGUGCAGCCCGUUUUAUAGACAAAAGUCAGGACAGGAUAGAUGAACAGCAAAAAGGAGAGAAUAUUUCUUCUGCAGUAAAGGGAAAAUUCUGAGACAUUUUAGUGGCAGAAUGAUGACUGAAUUAGAGAUGAGCAAUUUGAAUGCUUUCCCUCAUAAAUCUCACUCAGAAGGGAAAUACAAGACAGUUUCACUUAGAGACAAGACUACAGCAAUCCUAAGAGACAGGACAUAUUGAUACCAAAAUGACAAAUGCAAUUUUAGCUACAAGAAUGCUCUGUCAUCUGCCAGCUGAGCCAAUGACUUGGCUAAAAUCUGGGAAAGAGUAAAGAAUUGAAAUGAAAGCACUAGCAGAAAAGAAAAGGUUUGCCAAACGAAAUCUGAAGUCAGCUCAAGCAAUAAAGUCUUGGACUAGUGGUUUCUCCCUUAAUAGCGCCUAACUUUGGUGUUGCAUCUUGCAUUUUAUACUGACUUGUUGUCAAAUAGUUAUUUUCAGGGUAGAAUAAGAAAUUAGAAAAUGGAUGGAAAAAUAUAGAAACCUGUUGUAAAGUUAUAUUGCUUGCUUCUGCCCAGGAAUAAUGCAUGACAUUUAAUCUGUAUACUAGUUCAGCGUCACUGUGGGUCAUUUAUAUCUGUCUUUAUCAACAAUACCUGUCUUAGGUUGAAAACUGCAUGUUAGAGAUUUUGCCUACUGCCAAAUUGCAAAGCAGACACAUGGUCCUUUUGAUAUUUUUCUUUUUAUGCCAUUUCUUUUUUACUGUCUUUUGGGUAUCAAGUGCCUCAUUCAUUCAUUUAUUCACCCACUCAUAGAAUUUUAAUGGAUUAUGUGCAAUGUGCAAGGCACUGGGUUGAUGGUUAGGGGAGGUGAUUGAGUGAGGUAAAUGUGUGAUCGAGGCAUACAGCAAUGCAGGAAAAGCAUGAAAGAAGACACUAACUUGCUUGUGAUUCUCCCAAAACUGGCUUUUAUUUGUACUUUGGUGUAAUUCCAUUCACUUAUCCCAGGAAUUGACAUGAAAGCAGCCUCACAAAAUGGGAUACAAUGUAAAUUGUUGGUGAUGCUGCUAAUUGACUUUCUCAUUGUAUUUUUCAUGAGAAUCCCCAGAAGGUGGUUCCAUCUGCUCUUAAUACCAAGACAGUUCUUCUGUGUAAUUGGUAAGAUUUUAUCUUAUGGAUAAUGUAAUACUGUAACUGACAAUGCUUCCUUUUCUAUUCAGCAAGCCAAGCACAGUGUGUAAGUCAUUUUUAUAUCUGUCUGUCUACCCAGCAUCUAUCUAUCCCAUCAUCAAUCUCUAUCUAUCUCAGUCUUGUUUUGCUCAAUACCUUCACAUUUGUAUGUCUUUUAUUUUCAUUUAAAGCAUGGCAUAUACAUAGAAGAGUACAAAAUUAUAGGGAUGAAGCUCAAAGAAUUUUCACAAAGUGGUUUUCAUAACUGUGUAACCACUUCCAGAUCAGGAAAUAGAACAUUACCAUACACAGAAGUUUCCCUUUUUCUACUAUGGUCAUGAUCCAGCCCCUCCCCAAAGUGAGCCACUAUCUUGACUAGUAUUGCCUUUCUGAUGAAUGUGGAUUGGUAUCUAAUUGUGAUUGGAAUUUGUAUUUGCUUGGUGACAAAUGAUGUUUAGCAUUAUAUAUUGUCCUGUGUAUGUAUUGAAAAUAGCUUCUCAUCACGCUGUGGCUUGCCUUUUCACCCUUUUAACGAUGGCUUUUGAUGACCAGGAACUUAUAGAUUUUACUUGAUCUUUUCAAGAAAUCAAAUUUUUGCUUUGAUAUUGUUUUCUGCUUUUGGUUGGCUUCCUAUUUUAUUCUUUUCUGCUCUUAUGUUGUUUAUUUUCUUCCUCCUGUUUUCUCUGGAUAAUUUGCU